UGGCUCAGAACGAACGCUGGCGGCAGGCUUAACACAUGCAAGUCGAGCGCCCCGCAAGGGGAGCGGCAGACGGGUGAGUAACGCGUGGGAAUCUACCCAUCUCUACGGAACAACUCCGGGAAACUGGAGCUAAUACCGUAUACGUCCUUCGGGAGAAAGAUUUAUCGGAGAUGGAUGAGCCCGCGUUGGAUUAGCUAGUUGGUGGGGUAAUGGCCUACCAAGGCGACGAUCCAUAGCUGGUCUGAGAGGAUGAUCAGCCACACUGGGACUGAGACACGGCCCAGACUCCUACGGGAGGCAGCAGUGGGA
RNAcentral lists this ribosomal RNA (309 nucleotides) under Mesorhizobium sp. USDA 3350. RNAcentral describes it as "bacterial SSU rRNA". It matches the Rfam family "Bacterial small subunit ribosomal RNA", at positions 20 to 359 of the family's 1533-position model. Lineage: Bacteria; Pseudomonadati; Pseudomonadota; Alphaproteobacteria; Hyphomicrobiales; Phyllobacteriaceae. The record is from RNAcentral.